Long non-coding RNA from Poecile atricapillus (Black-capped chickadee), 1112 nucleotides. RefSeq lists it as uncharacterized. The transcript is spliced from 2 exons. Lineage: Eukaryota; Metazoa; Chordata; Aves; Passeriformes; Paridae. The record is from RefSeq and is a predicted model, not a curated record.
UUCACCUUUAAGACCGAGUGAAAAAAAGAAGAAGUUGAAGCUACUGGUGACUGAUGGGAGUUUUUCUUCCUGACCAAUUAUCAGCCAUUUCCAAGAAUUGACAGCAAAUCUGACCAUUAAAAAGUGAAUUCAACUUGUAAACACCCCCUUAAGAAGUAUACUCGGAGCUUUCUCGUUCUCUUUCUGGUUUCCGGCGUUUGAGAGGUAACAAGCUCUGUGUUAGUUUCCCCCCCCCCUCCCAGGCCCGGGACAAGGCCGCAGGGAUGGGGGGGGAGGAGGAGAGAAAAGCCGAGCUUAACACUUUUGUUUAGUUUUCAAGGUCUGCUGCUAGACUGAAACCUGACACUAUGAACUCUUGCAGCUUUUCUAAGGCUUUAAUUUUUUUUUACUACCUGAUAAACGUACAGAUUACUCUUUUUUGCUAGAAAGACAGAGAAAGAGAGGCAAUCAACAUUCAAAAGACAUCAUAAAACUACUAAAAACAGUGAAGAAAAGAGUUAAGUUUAAAUAAGAAAGAGAGAAAAAGGAGAUGCUUGUUGCUGAAAAGUCUUUCUGUUACAGCUAUGGAGAUGGACAGUAGUUUAAAGACUCCUUUAAUUCAUGACUAGAGUAUGGGAGGAAUAGAGUAUUCAAAGUGUGGACUUUAAAGAGAAGAAGGGUGGUUAUAAUACUGUGAGUUGCUGGAACUUGCGAGUGAAGUGAAGAUUUUAAAGCCUUAAAGGAGCCAAAGAGAUGGCUGUUUUCCAGGAAGGCUCACAGAAACAACUGAAAAAAAUUUCUACCUUUGAAUCACUUAUCCUUAAAAAUAACAUCCCUAGAUUCAAUUUGACCCAUUGCACACCUCAGAAUAGUGUGAGAUGGGAGGAGUGGACUCUAGAAACUCCAUGGAUUAGCAGGAAGAGACUUCUGUUUCUCUACGGGGACUGAUGAGAAGACUCUAGAAAUUGAGACUGUUUUUGACCACCAAGAUUGUAAAACUAUUUUUUUUGUCUCUAUGUUGUUAUGUGUACAAAGAAAUAGUCAAGUAGUGAAAAGAAAAAGAGUUUUCUGAAAGUUUAUUUUGGUAUUCUUAUUCUAAUAGUUUGUUAAUAAACUGUCUUUAUUCCUUUUAA